AAAAUGGAUAGUGUUGUGAACGUCGUACGGAAAAAUUCGUUCGGAAGUGCAAGGACUCUAAUCUACUGAGGACUAAAGCAAAUUAGGAAUCCAGCGGAUGACGGUUGCCAUCUUUGUCGUAUGCUGACAGUUGAGCAUACAAUGUUUUAUUUUGGUGCUGCGGGUGCUGCAGCUUUCACGGAGAGUACUCUGUGUUCUAAAAUAUUAACAAUUACUAAUCAUUUUUGUUUUUUUGUUUCAGGUGAUCAUAUAUGUAUUUAUUUUUAAUUUCGUUUAUUUGUAAUUUUUUUUAGGUGAGCUAUUGGAAAAGACAGCUGCAAGAUUUUACGUAGAAUAGCCCGGAUCUACGUUUUUAUUUAUAUAUAUAUAUAUACAUAUAUAGGACUAACUAUUAUUAACCUAGAUUAAGUAGCUAUAGUUUGUAACGGUAGGAACUAAAAUCUCGCUUGUAAACUAACUCGUUAGGAGGCUUAACCAGGAGUAGGUAGUAAAUUUGCAGCGAUAUUUAA
This is a long non-coding RNA of Malaya genurostris, 509 nucleotides long. RefSeq lists it as uncharacterized. Lineage: Eukaryota; Metazoa; Arthropoda; Insecta; Diptera; Culicidae. The record is from RefSeq and is a predicted model, not a curated record. The transcript has 2 exons.